CUCCUAGAGCUCCUCCCCUGCCGCCCCUCCCCGCUCUCCCCCGUCCGGCCCCCUGCCGCCCCUCCUCGCGACCCCCGGCCCGCGGCGCUGCAGCCUGGCCGCUUGCCUCGUGGCCCGCCCGGCCCGGCUCCGAGUCGGCGGCGGCUGUGCUCGUCUGACUCACAAGGCAGCCAGCGUGCUUCUCUUCCUUGCUCAUCAAGAUGUACCUCCACGUACAUUUCCAGACCCUGGUCGGAUCUUCUGGACAUAGUUAUGUGCUCUAGUUGUGGGUCCUACUAGUUCUUCUACAUGAGCUGCUGCCACAGGCUGGCUGUUGACAGACAGGUCGUGUGAUUCCACCACCAGGAAGUGAACCCGGGCCGCCGACGUGCCCUCCCUACUUUUACUGUGUUAACACUCAUCGAGAGGAGCACUUUAGUAUUCGGCGUUUCUCAGCCUGGUGUGGUCAUGAGAAAACGAAGAAAACUCAGAGAGUUGAGCGUCCUGCGGAGAGGACAGCGUUGAGCAGCUGGGGAGCACGGAGCGCGGGCGGAGCGGCAGCUGGACUGGCCACGGAAAGGACUCAAAUUGAAGAUAUAUCUAGGGAGGUGCCUGUUGAUAACACUUCCGGUUUCAGACAACCCUGUGUGAUACCCUUUGGACCCUGAAUAUUGGGACUUCCUGUGCUGUGCUCAUAAGGCAUUAUGUAAGACACAUGAGGGCACAGAUCUUAGAAUGUGGCCGCGUGAAAGAGAACUGACUGCCGUGGAGGAGCGGAGGCAGCCGGUGCUCUCGGGCCAGUGCUCUCGGGCUGCUCAGCCUUCGGAGAAGGAGGCCAGGGACAUCACGCUGUGCCCAGGGAUGCACCAGAGUUGGCCAGGAGGCAGCAGGAGCAAGGGAGAAUGUGGGCACAAGCCUCAUCGUGUUCUGUGGGAAGGAGUGGGCGAGGCAGGGGUUGCAGACUUAGCAUCGGCUGGUUUGGAUAAUUUCGGUGGUCCGGCUCUAAGGGCCGUCUUAAUGGUCUGCCUGCCCCGGGAUGCUUCAGGGCAGAAUAGUGUCCCAGAGUGCAGGUGCCUGGUAGAAAGACGUGAGAGGGGUGUGGACUCAGGCUUCAUUGGUUUGCACAUCAAGGGCGUGAUCACAGACAAGUUGUUUGCUGCCUCUAGGAAUGAGCUCACUCUGAGAGGGCCAGUCCCUCCUCUGUCCACAAGCCGCUAAAUGUCAAAGCAUCAUAAAAUACAGAACAUAAAAAACAGGACCAGCAGGUGCCCGAAAGCCCUGGAGUGCUCCUGGAGUGCGGUCUGACGGUGAAGGGAAGGGUGGAGGCGUUGCCUGACAGUUCCAAGGUCAUGGCUUGAAAUCACCAAACACAAGUUGGGUGCUUGAUUUCUCUAGAGGUUUCGGAUGUUUGGCUUAGAGCUUUGUCUCCCCACCUGUCCCCGCUGGUGCUCGUGACUUCUGACCCUUGACCACCUGGACAUUCUUCAGGAACAUUUUACACCGCUGCACGGGAGGCAUGCUCUUGGAGCAGUGCUUGACAGAACGGAAGCCCGUGGCUGCGCCUGUUGAACUGCUUGCCAAGGCUUUGCUGGAAAGUGACAUAACGAAAGCCAUCAAAGCCUUCAGUUUCCGGUUGUGUGCUCUGGAGCCGCAGUGCCUGGGGCUGCAGCCCAUCGCCACCUCCCGCCAGCUCCGUGGCCUUAGGCAAG
This is a long non-coding RNA of Equus quagga, 1688 nucleotides long. RefSeq lists it as uncharacterized. The record is from RefSeq and is a predicted model, not a curated record. The transcript is spliced from 12 exons. NCBI's taxonomy places the organism in Eukaryota, Metazoa, Chordata, Mammalia, Perissodactyla, Equidae.